Molecule: transfer RNA, 91 nt
Filed under: Gemmatimonadota bacterium
Lineage: Bacteria; Pseudomonadati; Gemmatimonadota
Also listed under: 1 other name
Description: Gemmatimonadetes bacterium tRNA-Ser
Rfam family: tRNA
About the family: Transfer RNA (tRNA) molecules are approximately 80 nucleotides in length.
Source: RNAcentral
GGAGAGGUGCCGGAGUGGUCGAACGGGAUGGUCUCGAAAACCAUUGUGGCUAUUAUGGUCACCGAGGGUUCGAAUCCCUCCCUCUCCGCCA